UGCCACUCUUAACGGGGUGGCUUUUCAGAAGUGUAAAAGGCUUCUGGAAUAAGGGCUGGGCAAGACCGGUGCCAGCCGCCGCGGUAACACCGGCAGCUCAAGUGGUAGCCGCUUUUAUUGGGCCUAAAGCGUCCGUAGCCGGUCUGAUAAGUCUCUGGUGAAAUCCCACAGCUUAACUGUGGGAAUUGCUGGAGAUACUAUCAUGACUCGAGGUCGGGAGAGGCUGGAGGUACUCCCAGGGUAGGGGUGAAAUCCUGUAAUCCUGGGAGGACCACCUGUGGCGAAGGCGUCCAGCUGGAACGAACCUGACGGUGAGGGACGAAAGCCAGGGGCGCGAACCGGAUUAGAUACCCGGGUAGUCCUGGCCGUAAACGAUGUGGACUUGGUGUUGAGAUGGCUUCGAGCUGCCCCAGUGCCGAAGAGAAGCUGUUAAGUCCACCGCCUGGGAAGUACGGCCGCA
This 460-nucleotide ribosomal RNA is filed under the name uncultured archaeon. RNAcentral describes it as "bacterial SSU rRNA". It matches the Rfam family "Archaeal small subunit ribosomal RNA", at positions 385 to 845 of the family's 1478-position model. The record is from RNAcentral.